GUAGUUCCGGAGGCGACUGCGACGCAUGGCGGCGAGCGGUGUGGAGAAGACGCGCGGGUGGCGGGGCCUUGCACUGCGGCGGCCCUCCGGCACCCUUGUGCUGCCCCCCUUCCUCCAGGCCCUAGGACCUCAUGCCGGGGAGGCAGCGUGGGCCCCAGGCCCCGGUACUCUGCGCCUCCCGCAGACGCCGGCUUCCCGGCCCGGUUUCCAGCGCCGGGAAUCCUUCCACUGUCUGUCUCUGCCCAGGGCAACCCCUGCGCAGUAACGCGGACCCCAUAGCGCACCCGUUAGGCGAUGAAGGCGCAAAAGAAGAGGAAGAAAACCCGGAACAGGGCCUCGGUGGCAAAUGGAGGCGAGAAGGCCUCAGAGAAGCCCGCCCCAGAGGAAGUUCCCGUACAAGCAGUUGGCCCAGGGAUUGGCUUGGUGCGUGGAGCGACUGCAGCUGGGUCUCCAGAGGCAGAAACUCACCCCGACACGAGUAAGAGACGUGGAUUGUGUGAUGCCCCAUUAUUUUAUGUUAUCAGUAAGAUAAUUUUUAAAAUGCUACAAAUGAUUUUGAGUCCAGCUCGAGCAACAUAGUGGGACACCUGUCUCUUAACAACAACAGCCAAAACAAACAAACAAGCAAUAGCAAAACCCUCAAGUUUCGGAUAUACUCCUGAUUAAGAAACCCAGAAUAGAACAGCCCUCAUGCUUGCUGUGCACUAUGACCCGCCAGGUAUUGUCAACAUCCUUCUUAAGCAAAAUGUUAAGAGCUCUACUCAAGACAUGUGUGGAUGAGAGGCUGAAGACUUCCCUCUUGUGGGUUGACAAAACGGAGUCUCACUCCGUUGCCAGCCUGGAGUGCGUUGGUGUGAUCUCGGCUCACUGCAUCCUCCACGUCCCAGGUUCGAGCGAUUCUCCUGCCUCAACCUCCCACGUAGCUGGGACUACAGAUUCCACUUCUGCAAGACUCUACAGAAGUCUCCAACCUUCAAAUCUUCAGUCUCCGAAAGCACCGAUUCCUGAAAGGAUGGCCUCAAAUGACCAAGUAUACGAGCCGUCUAUAUCCCUGCUCCUGAAAAACAAGCUAACUGGACUCUCCAUCACCUUCCCCCAGCACAGACGCACUACCAGCUACGCAGCUGAACUCCAUGACUGACUUGCCAUCCAAUCAUGCCCCUGACCCAGCCUACAUGAACAAGGGAAGGAACAUCAGCGAAUUAGGAAAAGAGGCAGAGGUGAGGAGACCACCUGUCCUGGGCCACAGAGCUAUGUAGAGUUCAUCAAUCUCCAGCCCCUUAGUAUUCCAGGGGCUCUAAACCACCUUCUGUAAGUCAGGAUGGAAGUAGAUGGUGCCACGAAGAUUUCUCUCUGCUGUAGCCACUCCUUCAGUGUCUCAAAAUGUUUUAACAUCUUUCAGUAAAAAUCUGUCAGUCCUUGAUAAAUUAAAAAAAAAAAAGGCAGCAAAGUUUUUAGAGCUCCCUUGAACCUUCUAUUUUAAGGCGCCUUUGUAGAUAAUUCCCAACAUUCUGUGUGUCGGUCAUCUUUGGAAUUUAUCGAUCGAUCAUUGUUUCUCUUCAAACUUGGCCUUGCCCUGCCCAUUCCAUUCUUACCCGCUUUCAUUGGCUUCACUAGUCAAUUCCACACUCAUUCUAGACACUGGGUGCACGAGACUCACUCCCGUUUGUAUUACCAAAACUCAGGCCAAUAGGAUAUAAAAAGUAGGAAGAAUACUGGGAUUUAACAUGAGUACAAAUCUCAUUUCUUCCAAUUCCUAUGUCUUCUUGAAUCCUAAUCUUUCUGAGACUCAAGUUUUCUAUCUAAACGAUCCCUUGACCAGAAUGUUCAACAGACGUGACAAUACUAGAACGUGUUUUAAUUCAUUCUAAGAUUCCUUAAAAUUCUGUAAUUCUAUGUGCUGCUGAUUCUGGGAAUACAUAGCCAGCAGAAUUUGAAAAACGAAUAGAAUUAAAGAAAUAACAAAGACAAAAAAAAAAAAAAA
Molecule: long non-coding RNA, 1984 nt
Organism: Macaca mulatta (Rhesus monkey)
Lineage: Eukaryota; Metazoa; Chordata; Mammalia; Primates; Cercopithecidae
Source: Ensembl